AGAGAGAGAGAGAGAGAGAGCAGAUAGAGAUUUUGGGCGAAAGAGAGAGAGAGAUUGGAAAAGGGAAAAUACACACAUAGAUAGAGGUGAAAAGAAUAGGGAGAGAAUGAGGCUAUUUUUUUUCAUUUCCUAAUCCAUUAACGGCAAAUUGAUGGAACUUAGACAAAAGGACUAAGUUGUAAACGAAAUCAAAGCUUAGGAACAUUAUUAUUUCAAACUGAAAAUACAGGGAUUUAGUUAUUAUUUUUGCCAAAACCUUAGGGGUCAAGUUGUAAUUUACCCUCGUAACCACUAAGAGAUUUUCAGAUCACGGAUUUAAAGUUUACACAUUACCAAAAAGAAUGUUUUGACACUACUAUGAAAGGUCUCUAUAGGUUAGCUCUGCCUUAAAUAGUUAGAAGAAUCAACAACAUAAACCUGACACACUAAUGGUAAG
This 436-nucleotide unclassified non-coding RNA is filed under the name Hevea brasiliensis (rubber tree). Lineage: Eukaryota; Viridiplantae; Streptophyta; Magnoliopsida; Malpighiales; Euphorbiaceae. The record is from RNAcentral.